RNAcentral lists this transfer RNA (63 nucleotides) under Syndesmis kurakaikina. Its description in RNAcentral is "tRNA-Gln". Lineage: Eukaryota; Metazoa; Platyhelminthes; Rhabdocoela; Umagillidae. The record is from RNAcentral.
UAUAUCAAGGUGUGUGUCACAUAUAAAAUUUUGAUUUUUAAGUAGAAUUGACUUCUGAUAUAA